GACGGAGGAUGCAAGCGUUAUCCGGAAUGAUUGGGCGUAAAGCGUCCGCAGGUGGCAGUUCAAGUCUGCUGUCAAAGACCGGGGCUCAACCUCGGAAAGGCAGUGGAAACUGAACAGCUAGAGUAUGGUAGGGGCAAAGGGAAUUCCUGGUGUAGCGGUGAAAUGCGUAGAGAUCAGGAAGAACAUCGGUGGCGAAGGCGCUUUGCUGGACCAUAACUGACACUCAGGGACGAAAGCGUGGGGAUCAAACAGG
Molecule: ribosomal RNA, 253 nt
Filed under: uncultured bacterium
Lineage: Bacteria
Description: partial 16S ribosomal RNA
Rfam family: Bacterial small subunit ribosomal RNA
Source: RNAcentral